GCCUUUUUAGCUCAGUGGUAGAGCACUGGUCUCGUAAACCAGGGGUCGUGAGUUCAAACCUCACAGGAGGCA
Molecule: non-coding RNA, 72 nt
Organism: Aphidius gifuensis
Lineage: Eukaryota; Metazoa; Arthropoda; Insecta; Hymenoptera; Braconidae
Source: the annotation of a RefSeq genome assembly